CCAAAGAAACAAAACUGAGGAAUAAUAAAAAGAACCAACAAUGAAUAAUACUAAAAAUAAAAAUAAAAUAUAAAUAAUCAAUAAAAAUAAUAGUGCAAAGAAUGAUAACACUAAUAAAAAUAAUCAUAACAAGAAUAAGCAUAAUAACAAAAAAACUAGUAACAAUAGGAACAAUAAAAAAAUUAUAAAAAUAAAAAAAGAAAUAAGAAAAAUAAAUAAUAAAUCCAAAAACGAGUAGGAAAGGUAAAUAGUAGAGGAACCGACUGUGGGGAGGGGUGGAGUGGAAGGUACGCACAGUGGUCGACGGAUGGUGGGGCAUGGCGUAGGGGUAUUUUGUUAAAGGCGAAGAAGGAACAAGGCAGAAAGGAUGAGGAAGGCUCAGAGGGGGAAAGAGUGGAAAGGGGCUGGGUGAAUUAUGGUGAUGGGCGGUGGCUUAGGUGCAUUUAGUCUAAGGAGGAAGGGAGGUGAGGGGUCAGGGGGUUAGGGGUCGUCGACGGAGGGCAGUGUUUGGUUAGGGGUGCGACAAGGUGAGGCAAAAAGGGGAAGGGAGGAGAGUCGCGCGGGGGUGGUCGAAGGGAAAAGGAGAAAAAAAAGGAAGGAGGGUUCGUUUGAUAAGGGAAGAAGAAGGAAAGGAAAGGGAAGAAGAGAAAGGAGGAAAGGGCAUUCGGAGGUGGGGAAUGGAAGAAAAAGCAGAUGUGUGACGGUGGCCAGUUGGAACAGGGGGGCUGUGAAAAGCGGCGGCUAGGGUUUUGUUGUUAGGCGGAUU
Molecule: long non-coding RNA, 766 nt
Filed under: Gossypium raimondii (Peruvian cotton)
Lineage: Eukaryota; Viridiplantae; Streptophyta; Magnoliopsida; Malvales; Malvaceae
Description: long non-coding RNA (GRAI_LNC003947)
Source: RNAcentral